UCAGGAUGAACGCUAGCUACAGGCUUAACACAUGCAAGUCGAGGGGCAGCAUGGGGUAGCAAUACUCAGAUGGCGACCGGCGCACGGGUGAGUAACACGUAUCCAACCUGCCGCUUACUCGGGGAUAGCCUUUCGAAAGAAAGAUUAAUACCCGAUAGGUAUAAAGAGUUCGCAUGUUCUCUUUAUUAAAGAAUUUCGGUAAGCGAUGGGGAUGCGUUCCAUUAGAUAGUUGGCGGGGUAACGGCCCACCAAGUCUACGAUGGAUAGGGGUUCUGAGAGGAAGGUCCCCCACAUUGGAACUGAGACACGGUCCAAACUCCUACGGGAGGCAGCAGUGAGGAAUAUUGGUCAAUGGACGAGAGUCUGAACCAGCCAAAAGUAGCGUGAAGGAUGACUGCCCUAUGGGUUGUAAACUUCUUUUAUAAGGGAAUAAAGUGAGGGACGUGUCCCUUUUUGUAUGUACCUUAUGAAUAAGGAUCGGCUAACUCCGUGCCAGCCGCCGC
RNAcentral lists this ribosomal RNA (503 nucleotides) under uncultured bacterium. Its description in RNAcentral is "bacterial SSU rRNA". It matches the Rfam family "Bacterial small subunit ribosomal RNA", at positions 24 to 518 of the family's 1533-position model. The record is from RNAcentral.